UUGCAGCCAUAUCACGUUGAAACACCAGUUCCUGUAUGAUCACCAAAGUUAAGCAAUGCUGAAUUUGGUCAGUACCUAGAUGGGUAAUAACUUGGGAAUACCAUGUACUGUAAG
Molecule: non-coding RNA, 114 nt
Organism: Acanthosepion pharaonis
Lineage: Eukaryota; Metazoa; Mollusca; Cephalopoda; Sepiida; Sepiidae
Source: the annotation of a GenBank genome assembly